This 549-nucleotide small RNA is filed under the name Penicillium chrysogenum. RNAcentral describes it as "eukaryotic LSU rRNA". The stretch from base 170 to 322 matches the Rfam family "5.8S ribosomal RNA". The record is from RNAcentral. Lineage: Eukaryota; Fungi; Ascomycota; Eurotiomycetes; Eurotiales; Aspergillaceae.
CGGUUGAGUUCUGGGUCACCUCCCACCCGUGUUUAUUUUACCUUGUUGCUUUGGCGGGCCCGCCUUAACUGGCCGCCGGGGGGCUUACGCCCCCGGGCCCGCGCCCGCCGAAGACACCCUCGAACUCUGUCUGAAGAUUGUAGUCUGAGUGAAAAUAUAAAUUAUUUAAAACUUUCAUCAACGGAUCUCUUGGUUCGGGCAUCGAUGAAGAACGCAGCGACAUGCGAUACGUAAUGUGAAUUGCAAAUUCAGUGAAUCAUCGAGUCUUUGAACGCACAUUGCGCCCCCUGGUAUUCCGGGGGGCAUGCCUGUCCGAGCGUCAUUGCGGCCCUCAAGCACGGCUUGUGUGUUGGGCCCCGUCCUCCGAUCCCGGGGGACGGGCACGAAAGGCAGCGGCGGCACCGCGUGCGGUCCUCGAGUGUAUGGGGCUUUGUCACCCGCUCUGUAGGCCCGGCCGGCGCUUGCCGAUCAACCCAAAUUUUUAUCCAGGUUGACCUCGGAUCUGGUAGGGAUACCCGCUGAACUUAAGCAUAUCAAUAAGCAGAGGAA